UACGGAGGAUGCGAGCGUUAACCGGAUUUAUUGGGUUUAAAGGGUGCGCAGGCGGCACGGCAAGCCGGCGGUCAAAUCGCGGGGCUCAACCCCGCCCAGCCGUCGGAACUGCCGGGCUAGAGUGGGCGAGAAGUGCGCGGAAUGCGUGGUGUAGCGGUGAAAUGCAUAGAUAUCACGCAGAACUCCGAUUGCGAAGGCAGCGCACCGGCGCCCUACUGACGCUCAGGCACGAAAGCGUGGGUAUCGAACAGG
This 252-nucleotide ribosomal RNA is filed under the name uncultured bacterium. RNAcentral's name for it is "partial 16S ribosomal RNA". It matches the Rfam family "Bacterial small subunit ribosomal RNA", at positions 524 to 776 of the family's 1533-position model. The record is from RNAcentral.